RNAcentral lists this ribosomal RNA (476 nucleotides) under uncultured Fusobacteriaceae bacterium. RNAcentral describes it as "bacterial SSU rRNA". It matches the Rfam family "Bacterial small subunit ribosomal RNA", at positions 8 to 507 of the family's 1533-position model. The record is from RNAcentral. Lineage: Bacteria; Fusobacteriati; Fusobacteriota; Fusobacteriia; Fusobacteriales; Fusobacteriaceae.
AGAGUUUGAUCCUGGCUCAGGAUGAACGCUGACAGAAUGCUUAACACAUGCAAGUCUACUUGAUCCUUCGGGUGAUGGUGGCGGACGGGUGAGUAACGCGUAAAGAACUUGCCUUGCAGUCUGGGACAACGUCUGGAAACGGACGCUAAUACCGGAUAUUAUGAUUGAAUCGCAUGAUUUAAUUAUGAAAGCUAUAUGCGCUGCGAGAGAGCUUUGCGUCCCAUUAGUUAGUUGGUGAGGUAACGGCUCACCAAGACGAUGAUGGGUAGCCGGCCUGAGAGGGUGAACGGCCACAAGGGGACUGAGACACGGCCCUUACUCCUACGGGAGGCAGCAGUGGGGAAUAUUGGACAAUGGACCAAAAGUCUGAUCCAGCAAUUCUGUGUGCACGAUGAAGUUUUUCGGAAUGUAAAGUGCUUUCAGUUGGGAAGAAGAAAGUGACGGUACCAACAGAAGAAGCGACGGCUAAAUACGUG